GUUCUUUUAGCUUAUAUCUCAACCUAAAGCAUAAUAUUGAAAAUAUUAAUAAAUUAAAAAUGAUUUAGAACA
RNAcentral lists this transfer RNA (72 nucleotides) under Neohydatothrips samayunkur. RNAcentral's name for it is "tRNA-Phe". Lineage: Eukaryota; Metazoa; Arthropoda; Insecta; Thysanoptera; Thripidae. The record is from RNAcentral.